Molecule: microRNA precursor, 63 nt
Organism: Monodelphis domestica (gray short-tailed opossum)
Lineage: Eukaryota; Metazoa; Chordata; Mammalia; Didelphimorphia; Didelphidae
Source: Ensembl
UUACAGAAUUGUGUGACAGGUUGUGCUUAGUGUUAAAACAGCUGUCACCUGGGUUCUGUAACC